Molecule: long non-coding RNA, 3171 nt
Filed under: Arabidopsis thaliana (thale cress)
Lineage: Eukaryota; Viridiplantae; Streptophyta; Magnoliopsida; Brassicales; Brassicaceae
Description: long non-coding RNA (ATHA_LNC000169)
Source: RNAcentral
GUGGAGCUCUUGCUAAUAUCCCCCCGCAAACCCGGUGUAGGUGGCUCAACUACACCGAGUUUGUACCUGAGUGAAGUAAACGCAUUGAACGGAAGCAAUUUGGUGAAGAUGUCUGCGGUCUGCUCAUGUCCAGGUAUGUGUCUCACUUCCAGCAAUCCAAGAGCCACUCUUUCUCUGACGUAGUGAUAGUGGUUCUCAAAGUGUUUGGUCCUUUUGUGGAACGCCGGAUUUACUGUUAGGUAGACUGCGGAGAGAUUGUCACAAUAGAGGGUUGGAGCUUUGAGAAGAGGAACUCGCAGCUCCUUCAUAAUUGAGCUGAGCCAGGUGAUUUCAGAGGCUGCUUCAGAUAGCGUUCUGUAUUCGGCUUCAGUUGAGCUCUUCGAUACAGAGUUCUGCUUGUGAGACGACCAAGAGAUGAUGUUGAGUCCCAAAUACGUGCAGUAACCACCAGUUGAACGUCUUGUUUCAGGACAACCAGACCAAUCACUAUCACUCUAAGCUCGUAGUGUACAAUCUGACUGCUUUCGAAAGUUUAUUCCCAUAGUCAUUGUACCUUUAACAUACCUCAAUAUUUUUUUCAGAAGUAAGAAGUCCAGAGUUGUUGGCGCAUGCAUCUUCUGACAGACAUAAUUCACUGCAAACUGAAUGUCAGGUCUAGUAAGUGUUAGAUAUUGUAACUUACCAGCAAGACUGCGAAAGUAUAUUGGAUUCUCAAAGGUAUCCUGAUUCUGUCUCCUUUGUUUGUUUAGUUGAAGAGGCAGAGGAGUUGGCAUUGGGGCACAAUCACUCAUUGAAGCAGCAAUCAGUAAGUCUUCUGCAUACUUUUGUUGUGAUAAGAAAAGUCCCUCUGAAUGAAAUUGAGCUUGAAUUCCCAAGAAAUAGUGCAUUUGACCGAAGUCUUUCAUCUUGAACCUUUUGUUUAGUUCUGCAAGCAAUAAGGCAAGUGAAUCUGAGCUGUUACAGUGAUCAACAUAUCGUCAACAUACAGGAGGAGCGGAAUGAUAUCCUUUCCUCUGCUGAAGAGAAAGAGGGACGGGUCUGGAAUACUGCAAUGAAAUCCAAACUCCAAGAGGUAUGUGCUGAACUUGUCAAACCAGGCUCUAGGUGACUGUUUUAAACCAUACAGUAACUUGUGUAGCUUACAGACAUGAUCUGGUUUGUCUGGAUCUACAAAACCUGCAGGUUGAGCCAUAUAGACUGUUUCAGUUAGAUCACCAUGGAGGAAGACAUUUUGUACAUCCAUCUGUUUGAUGUCCCACUCCAUUAUGGUUGCAAGAUGCAGAACUCCCCUCACUGUUGCUGUUCUCACCACUGGACUGUAAGUCUCGAGAUAGUCUAUGCCUUCAGCUUGAUUAAAUCCCUGAGCCACUAACCUUGCUUUCAGCUUUUGUAGUGAUCUGUCAGCAUUUAACUUGGUUCGAAAGAUCCAUUUGCUGCCUAAAACAUGCAUAUCUGGAGUGUAAGGAACCAGAGACCAUGUUUCAGCCUCUUUACAGUUCCCCAUCUCUUCUCCCAUAGCACCUGUCCAUCCAGGGUCUUUAAGAGCUGCAGCUACAGUCUUUGGUUCCGGGUAAGACACUUUGUGUGUCAGUAAAGCAUAUCUUGGAUUUGGCUUUCUGAUUCCACUCUUUUGUCUUAUGGUCAUAGGGUGUGUAGACUUGACUUCUGCAGAUUCUUGUGCAGACUCUUGGACAGGUAUCUGACUAGCUAAGAUGUCAUCUUGUCUCUCAUUUUCUGAUCUUGUUGUGGACUGUUCUGUGAUUUCUUUUGUAGCCUGACUUGAUGUUUCUAUUGAGAUACCAGGACUGUGAGAAGAAGAAGAGAAGCUGUUGCCUAUAGGAACAGGAUCGGAGCCUGCCGUACACCCAGAACUUCUUUCUCCUUCCACAGCAGGUACAACAAUGGAGAUUGGUGUCUGUAGAAUGAUUGGAGUUUUCACAGGUAGAGGAGGAAAUUCUUCUUCUGAAAAUAGACUAUCAUCUUGUUUUGGUGGAGCUUUGUUAACAUUGUUGAUUCCUUUUGUCCAAGCUAGCAUUAGUGGAGUGAGACUUCCUGUCUUAGGUCUUGAGUGAGACUGAGCAAAAGGAAAGACUGUUUCAUCAAAUAUAACAUGGCGACUGAUGUAGCCUCUUCGAGUUGAUGGUAAGUAACAUCUGUAGCCUUUGUACUUCUCGUUAUACCCUAGAAACACACACUUGAGUGAUCUAGGAUCAAACUUGUUCGAAGCAUAAUCUCUCAAUGUUGGAUAACAGGCACAACCAAAGGUUCUGAGAGCUGAGUAGUCUGGUGGCUUGCCAUGCAAUUUCUCAUAGGGACUGCACUUCAUAUCCAAAGCAGUUGUGGGAAGAAGAUUGAUUAAGAAGUUUGCAGUGUAGAAAGCUUCAACCCAAAACUUCUGAGGACAGGUACUCUGAAACAUCACUGAGAGACCAAGCUUAAUGAUAUGUCUGUGUUUCCUCUCAGCUAACCCAUUAUGUUGCGAUGUGUAGGGACAGGAGAUGAGCUGUUUGAUCCCACAUUAUUGUAGGUGAUCUGUCAGCUUUCUGUUUGUGAACUCUCCUCCUCCAUCACACUGAAAUGUACCAAUCUUUGUUUGGUAUUGAUUUUCAACCAAAGCUUGGAACACAGAAAAGGUAUGAGCAAAAUCUGAUUUGAGCUUUAAUGGGUAGAACCAGCAAAAUCUAGAGUAGUUAUCAAUGAACACUACAUAAUAACUGAAUCCUUGAUUUGAUUUAACAGGUGAAGGACCCCAGAGAUCACAGUGUAUUCUCUCUAGAGGUCUAGUAGCUACGAAAGUAGAAGCAGAAAAGGGAAGUCUAACACUUUUCCCAAGCUGGCAAGAUUCACACACCAUCUUGGUACUCUUAUUCCCGAUACUGAUAGCUUUUUUUGGAGAUAACACAUGGAGAACUUGUGAAUGAGGAUGCCCCAACCUUUGAUGCCAUAUAUCUUCACUCGCCCCUUACUGUGCUUUCCCUUUGUCAACAAUUUCCUUGUUGCCUUAUCAUAUAUUCGAACAUCAUCACAGUCAAAUUGAAAUACGCAGGGAUAGUCAUUGGUGAGCUUGGAAACUGACAACAAGGGUUUAGAAAUGUCAGGACACACAAGAACAUCAUUUAAAGGUAAGUUACCUGAAGUAGAAGGAAGACUGCCUGAUCCGGUGUGAGUUAU